RNAcentral lists this long non-coding RNA (1679 nucleotides) under Manihot esculenta (cassava). Its description in RNAcentral is "long non-coding RNA (MESC_LNC008756)". Lineage: Eukaryota; Viridiplantae; Streptophyta; Magnoliopsida; Malpighiales; Euphorbiaceae. The record is from RNAcentral.
UUUUUGGAAAUAGUGCGAAGAUGUUCUGGCUACAAGAAGGUGAUUUCAAAUCCCGGAUUUUCUAGGCUCUUGUAUUCCUUGUGUAUAAAUAGCUAAGACUUUUUACACUUUAUAAUUGAAUAAUAUCCUUCUCUUUCUUUAAAACCACGUUUCAAACUAAAUCUGAAACAACUAAUCUUUAGCGCUAGCGAUGGAAAAUCAAGAUAGGGAUUCGAAAGCGGCCGGAAGAACGACGACAGCUGUGAAUAGAGCAGAUUCACCAAUGAAUCUGCAUAGCUCAGAUAAUCCGGGGAUGAGUUUGGUAACAACUCCUCUUGUAGGAGGCAAUUAUCGCUCUUGGAGUCGCGCAAUAAAGAUUGCUCUAGGAGCAAAGUAGAAACUCGAAUUCAUUGACAGAUCAAUCAAAAUGCCAGAAAAAGAGUCAAAUGAUUUCGCUGCAUGGAGAAAAUGUGAUUUUAUGAUCACUUCUUAGAUCAUCAAUUCAAUUUCAAAGGAAAUAGUAGAAGCAUUCAUUUACACAACAUCAUCUAAAAAACUUUGAGGUGAAAUAGCCGAAGAUAUGACGAAAGCAACGACCUGCUUAUUUUCUAGAUACAGAGGGAGAUCAAUUCUUCAAUACAAGGAAAUGAAUAUGUAUCGGUAUACUUCACGAAAUUCAAGAUACUCUAGGAUGAACUUGCAAGUCUUGAGCCUAUACUUGCCUGCGCAUGUGGAGUAUCACGAGAAAUGGCUUAUCGAGGAAAACUGAUGCAAUUCUUUAUUAAUCUAAAUGAAGGUUUUGAACAAGCAAGAAGCCAAAUCCUGAUGCAAGAUCCUUUGCCUUCUAUCAAUAAGGCAUAUUCUGUCAUUUUAAAAGUUGAAGCUCAAAGAAAGGUAUUCAAUAAUAGCAAUGAUAUGAUUGCUAGUGUAGUAUUAUUGGCUCAGACUCAAUAUACAAAGAAAGAUUACAAGAAAGGAGAUAAGAGGAAAGGGCAUUGCACCUUCUACAAUCAAAAUGGUCAUCUAAGGGAGGCUUGUUUCCGGCUUAUAAGAUAUCCAGAAUGGUAAAAAGGAAAAAGUUCACAAGUGGUCCACAAUUUGAAAGGACAGUCUAGUGGAGUCAAGCACGCAACAGCUUGUGGCUAAAAUUCCACUGGAUGAGGAGGAUCUUCGUGCGGAGGACAAAAUCAAAGAGAUAAGUCUCAUGCUUGGCAAUUUACAAUAAGAAGUGCAUAGACUCAUAAAAGGCAAGAUGUCAGUGGCUGCAUCAGUUGUGUCACAACACUCCUUUGCUGGUAAUUUUAAUGCCUUUAAUACAUCUUUUGUUAAAGAACACAUGGAUAGUGUAUAGGUGGUUGACACGGGUGCUAUAGAUCAUAUGAGCUCUAAGAAACAUAUCUUCCAAUCUGUUACUGCAGUUACUAGACCUGUCACAGUCCUAUUACCUAAUGAAAAUUAUAUUCAAGUAACCAAGAAAGGAAAUGUCUCUCUUGCUCCAUCUGUUCUCCUGGCAGACACACUAUACAUACCUGAUAUUACAUACAAUCUGCUAUCAGUCUCUAAACUCUUGUCCACAACCUCUUUAAUUCUGCAUUUCAAUGCAAAACGCUGUCUAUUUUAGGACUAGAGAGCUAACAAGGUGGUGGCACUAGGCAAAGAUCUAAAUGGUCUCUACAUACUGGACAGUAAUGGAUUUCUUC